CAAAACGCUGGCGGCGUGCCUAAUACAUGCAUCUCGAGCGGACGGAAGGGAGCUUGCUCCCCGAUGUUAGCGGCGGACGGGUGAGUAACACGUGGGUAACCUGCCUGUAAGACUGGGAUAACUCCGGGAAACCGGAGCUAAUACCGGAUAGUUCCUUGAACCGCAUGGUUCAAGGAUGAAAGACGGUUUCGGCUGUCACUUACAGAUGGACCCGCGGCGCAUUAGCUAGUUGGUGAGGUAACGGCUCACCAAGGCGACGAUGCGUAGCCGACCUGAGAGGGUGAUCGGCCACACUGGGACUGAGACACGGCCCAAACUCCUACGGGAGGCAGCAGUAGGGAAUCUUCCGCAAUGGACGAAAGUCUGACGGAGCGACGCCGCGUGAGUGAUGAAGGUUUUCGGAUCGUAAAGCUCUGUUGUUAGGGAAGAACAAGUGCAAGAGUAACUGCUUGCACCUUGACGGUACCUAACCAGAAAGCCACGGCUAACUACGUGCCAGCAGCCGCGGUAAUACGUAGGUGGCAAGCGUUGUCCGGAAUUAUUGGGCGUAAAGGGCUCGCAGGCGGUUUCUUAAGUCUGAUGUGAAAAGCCCCCGGCUCAACCGGGGAGGGUCAUUGGAAACUGGGAAACUUGAGUGCAGAAGAGGAGAGUGGAAUUUCCACGUGUAGCGGUGGAAUGCGUAGAGAUGUGGAGGAACACAGUGGCGAAGCGACUCUCUGGUCUGUAACUGACGCUGAGAGCGAAGCGUGGGGAGCGACAGGAUAAAUCCUGGUAGUCCCGCCGUAACGAUGAGUGGCUAGUGUUAGGGGGUUUCUGCCUUUAAGGGUGGCGCUAACCAUUAAGCCCUCUCCUUGGGGGAGUCGGUCCAAGAAUGAAUCCAAGGAAUGGACGGGGGCCCGCCAACGGUGGACUGGGGUUUUUCGAGCACGGGGAACUUACAGGCUGCAUCUCUGCACCUAGAAGAAGGGUU
Molecule: ribosomal RNA, 970 nt
Filed under: Bacillus pumilus
Lineage: Bacteria; Bacillati; Bacillota; Bacilli; Caryophanales; Bacillaceae
Description: bacterial SSU rRNA
Rfam family: Bacterial small subunit ribosomal RNA
Source: RNAcentral